GACGAACGCUGGCGGCGUGCUUAACACAUGCAAGUCGAACGGAAAGGCCCUGCUUUUGUGGGGUGCUCGAGUGGCGAACGGGUGAGUAACACGUGAGUAACCUGCCCUUGACUUUGGGAUAACUUCAGGAAACUGGGGCUAAUACCGGAUAGGAGCUCCUGCUGCAUGGUGGGGGUUGGAAAGUUUCGGCGGUUGGGGAUGGACUCGCGGCUUAUCAGCUUGUUGGUGGGGUAGUGGCUUACCAAGGCUUUGACGGGUAGCCGGCCUGAGAGGGUGACCGGCCACAUUGGGACUGAGAUACGGCCCAGACUCCUACGGGAGGCAGCAGUGGGGAAUAUUGCACAAUGGGCGGAAGCCUGAUGCAGAAACGCCGCGUGCGGGAUGACGGCCUUCGGGUUGUAAACCGCUUUCGCCUGUGACGAAGCGUGAGUGACGGUAAUGGGUAAAGAAGCACCGGCUAACUACGU
This 467-nucleotide ribosomal RNA is filed under the name uncultured bacterium. RNAcentral's name for it is "partial 16S ribosomal RNA". It matches the Rfam family "Bacterial small subunit ribosomal RNA", at positions 28 to 506 of the family's 1533-position model. The record is from RNAcentral.